UACAGAGGUCUCAAGCGUUGUUCGGAAUUACUGGGCGUAAAGGGUGUGCAGGCCGCGCGGGCAGUCAAAUGUGUAAUCCAGGGGCUCAACCCCUGAACUGCGCUUGAUACUUCCGCGCUCGAGCUUUGGAGAGGAGUCUGGAAUUCUCGGUGUAGCAGUGAAAUGCGUGGAUAUCGAGAAGAACACUUAGGGCGUAGGCAAGACUCUGGACAAAUGCUGACGCUCAUGCACGAAGGCUAGGGUAGCGAACGGG
Molecule: ribosomal RNA, 253 nt
Filed under: uncultured bacterium
Lineage: Bacteria
Description: partial 16S ribosomal RNA
Rfam family: Bacterial small subunit ribosomal RNA
Source: RNAcentral